Molecule: long non-coding RNA, 1639 nt
Organism: Cavia porcellus (domestic guinea pig)
Lineage: Eukaryota; Metazoa; Chordata; Mammalia; Rodentia; Caviidae
Exons: 2
Source: RefSeq, a predicted model, not a curated record
AACAGGGUCUUAUAUAGUUCUGGCUGGCCUCCAGCUUGUGACAGCCCUCCUACCUCAGCCUCCUGAGUGCUAGGAUUAGAGGUGUGCAGCACCAUACCUGAGCCUUGCUGUGUAAUUCAUGCUGGCUUUGAACUCACUGCAUAGCCCAGCCUAGCCUUAAAUUCAUUGCAAUCAUCCUGCUUCAAGCCUUCCAAGUGUUAGAAUUACAUGUGUGCACUAACAUGCCUGCCUCUGAAGAUUUUUAAGUAGAAAGACUGUAUUGGGAUUUUACUAGAAAAACAGCUAUAAUAUAAGAUAUACACAUGUAUAAGAAAUUACUAGGUUGGCUUACCAUGGUCAGCCACAAAGUCAAAUGAAGAUGCGGGUAGAAGGUGUCUGUGUGCUGGAGGCUGAAGGAUUCAAUCCAAGAUCUAGAGUUCAUCCCAGUGUCCUGUGGAAGUCUGCACCAAGAGGCUGAUGGGUCUGUGACAGAAAGCUGAAGAGUCUAUGCCCCAAAGAGUGAAGUAUCCAAGACAGAGUCUAAAGUGGAAGCCAGGAGACAAUGAACUAGCCAAACGCAAAAAUUUGAGCUCCUCCAAACAACAGAGCCCCAUCUGUCAUUCCUCUUUCCCUUUUAUGAGCCACGCUAUGGUAGGUCUUCUACACUCUAGAAGUAGAAUUGCUAAGCUGAUUUAGUUAAGCUUCUAAACAUCUCAAAUUGACAGAGUCGACCACUACAAAGGCAAACCUCCAUAAAGUGGCUUACAUUUACUACUUCCAUUGCUUUACUAGUUGCACUAGUCAAGGAAGAGUAGUAGUGCAGUAACCCCUAAAUCACAGUCUUCAACAACAGUUUUGGUUUUAUUUUUUUUUUUUUACUCUGUCCUUCUGUUUUUGCAGGGCUAGGGUUCAUGCAUAUCAGGCAAGCACUUCCCCACUUAACUAGACACCCAGCACUUAUCUACUCUGUGUUCCUAGCUGAGUAGAAGGCAGACAUUGGGACCUCUAGAAAUGCGAAAACGAAAAGGAGAUAGAUUGUGCAGUUUUUGCCUGAAUAUGUUACACAAGCCACUUCUGCUCAUAUUUCAUUGGCCAGGGGAAGUCAUGUGAUCAACCUAACUUCAAAGGGAGAGGGAGCUACAGCUCUACAGUGUCCUCUGGAGAAACAGAAUAUUUGUACCACCCUCAGACAACUACACUAGUCAUUCGUUCUUUCACAGUGUGACUUGAAGAUCCCUUACCUGUCUAAAAGUAUUGUGUCCAAACUGAGCCUCUAACAUUCCAAGAUUAUAUUUUCCUGAUGAGUGGACAGAUUAUUUUGGCAAGACUUUAGGACAUAGGAAGAGAAGUUAAUGGAAAAAGAGACUGCAAAGUAGGUGUUACCUAAAGAGUUUAAACUAUUCAAUAGGCAAAAAAAGAACCACUAACAUUUUUCAGAUGAAGGUUGUAAGUUAGAUAGCAAGUAGAAGAAUUACGUUGACAGAUAAGAGUAGGAAAGCUUAGAGGUAAGAGGGAGUAGGUUGGGACACUACUGCCAGAGGUGUGAACUGGAAUUACACACUAAAAUAGUCAUGAAGAUUACCUCCCGGUGUUACAUAUUUGUCUCUUGUCUCUUCUCCCAGUUGGCAAACUUAAUUAAAUGACAUACUGUAUCCUUUUA